GGAUAGCUCAGUUGGUUAGAGCAUGGUACUGAUAAUGCCAUGGUUGUGGGUUUGAUCCUUGCAUGGAACA
Molecule: transfer RNA, 70 nt
Filed under: Podarcis lilfordi (Lilford's wall lizard)
Lineage: Eukaryota; Metazoa; Chordata; Lepidosauria; Squamata; Lacertidae
Description: tRNA.Ile
Rfam family: tRNA (bases 4-62)
About the family: Transfer RNA (tRNA) molecules are approximately 80 nucleotides in length.
Source: RNAcentral